GCCCAACUGAUUGAACGUGCUUGCACGGACUUGACGUUGGUUUACCAGCGAGUGGCGGACGGGUGAGUAACACGUAGGUAACCUGCCCCAAAGCGGGGGAUAACAUUUGGAAACAGAUGCUAAUACCGCAUAACAAUUUGAAUCGCAUGAUUCAAAUUUAAAAGAUGGCUUCGGCUAUCACUUUGGGAUGGACCUGCGGCGCAUUAGCUUGUUGGUAGGGUAACGGCCUACCAAGGCUGUGAUGCGUAGCCGAGUUGAGAGACUGAUCGGCCACAAUGGAACUGAGACACGGUCCAUACUCCUACGGGAGGCAGCAGUAGGGAAUCUUCCACAAUGGGCGCAAGCCUGAUGGAGCAACACCGCGUGAGUGAAGAAGGGUUUCGGCUCGUAAAGCUCUGUUGUUAGAGAAGAACGUGCGUGAGAGCAACUGUUCACGCAGUGACGGUAUCUAACCAGAAAGUCACGGCUAACUACGUGCCAGCAGCCGCGGUAAUACGUAGGUGGCAAGCGUUAUCCGGAUUUAUUGGGCGUAAAGCGAGCGCAGGCGGUUUGAUAAGUCUGAUGUGAAAGCCUUUGGCUUAACCAAAGAAGUGCAUCGGAAACUGUCAGACUUGAGUGCAGAAGAGGACAGUGGAACUCCAUGU
This 644-nucleotide ribosomal RNA is filed under the name Limosilactobacillus mucosae. RNAcentral describes it as "bacterial SSU rRNA". It matches the Rfam family "Bacterial small subunit ribosomal RNA", at positions 61 to 674 of the family's 1533-position model. The record is from RNAcentral. Lineage: Bacteria; Bacillati; Bacillota; Bacilli; Lactobacillales; Lactobacillaceae.